Long non-coding RNA from Balaenoptera ricei (Rice's whale), 604 nucleotides. RefSeq lists it as uncharacterized. The record is from RefSeq and is a predicted model, not a curated record. NCBI's taxonomy places the organism in Eukaryota, Metazoa, Chordata, Mammalia, Artiodactyla, Balaenopteridae. The transcript has 4 exons.
CGUCGUCACGCGCAAUGGAGGCUGUGGUGAGGGCGGGGCCCGGGGACUUAAGUAGUGAAGUUGGACCGCCGUCUCCUCAAGUCUCGCGUGAUCACGUGGUCGGCACCCAGGCGGAAGUCUCCGGCACCUGCUUUGGGAUGAGGAACUUGCUAAGUAUUGCUGGAAAAAGCGGUCUUGGUUGCUGCCUGCGGGCUUUCUCUAGUUGCCCCCAGUGGGGGCUGCUUUUCGUUGCAGUGCGCGCCGCUUGUUAGGAACCAGGCUGCACAGCAGGAGGUGAGCGGCUGGCAAGCAAAGCUUCAUCUGUAUUUAUAGCUGCUCCCCAUUGCUCGCAUUACCGCCUGAGCUCCACCUCCUGUCAACAUUAUGCUUGUCUUCCGGUGGAAAGACCGUUGGUAUUCCCAAGAAGGCCUGGAAAUGGAUCCAAAAAAAUAUUGCUGUGAUUUAUGUCAAAGAGUGUUCUGCCUAACCAAAAACAAGUCUAAGAAACUAUCACAGCCAAGAGGAGCCUAAGGGUACAUGAGGAUGAAGUGUUACGUGGCAUCCUGGACAGGAUCCUGGACUAGAAAGAAAACAUUCGGUUAAAACUAGGGCGAUCUGAAUAAGC